Molecule: transfer RNA, 73 nt
Filed under: Cordylochernes scorpioides
Lineage: Eukaryota; Metazoa; Arthropoda; Arachnida; Pseudoscorpiones; Chernetidae
Description: tRNA-Arg
Source: RNAcentral
UACCUCCGGCGGGAUUCGAACCCGCAAUCCCCGGUUUAGGAGACCGAUGCCUUAUCCAUUAGGCCACGGAGGC